Non-coding RNA from Phalacrocorax carbo (great cormorant), 969 nucleotides. The record is from RefSeq and is a predicted model, not a curated record. NCBI's taxonomy places the organism in Eukaryota, Metazoa, Chordata, Aves, Suliformes, Phalacrocoracidae.
UUACCUGUAUCCCUGGGGCAGCAGCUGCCUUCGCCGCCUUGCUGGGCUCGGCCCGCCCCGCCGGCGUGUGAGGGGUUUCUCUGGGAUUCCCGCUGUAAACGUUUCCCUCAGGGGCCUUUUUUCCUUCCUUCCUUCUUGUGGGCUUUCAGCGCAGCGCUCUGGGGGCUGUGGCCCACCACGGUGAUGGGCCACUCUCCUGAGGUGUGUGUGUGCUGGCCUUCAGGGAAGGUCAUGCACAGCAGCCACAGAAACUAUAGGGAAGAGGAAUGUGGAAAACUACCCCUGUACCCUCAGCGUCCAAAAGCAGUGAUAUUAGCAAGGCAUGUAGUGGUCUUAGUCUUUUUUCCUCUUGCUUUUGCAUUAUUGGUCAUAUCCUUAGCUUCUGAAGCAACACAUCUCCCCAAAGAGGCAUACAAGCACUGGUUCCUUGGGAGUGCUUCUGAAGCUAGACUUUCUGGCUGGAUUCCAUAUCCCAUAAUGUUUUAUGCCUAUGGAUUCUUACAAUGCAUUUCCCCUUUCAUCCAUCAUGGAGAGUUUGACCUUGGAUCUGAAUUGUUACCUUGCUUUUGCCUGAUGAUCACUGGACCGUUGACAGGACCUGUUGUCAUCACCCAGCUUGGGUGCUCUGGGACUGUGCCCUGAGGGUAAGCUCACUGCCCAGCCAGUGUCAUGAUUGUUCUCAGCUCCCCGUUAGCCUUCCCUUAGGGAGCAGCCCAGCUCUUACUGCUCCAUCCUACUGUCCUUCACAGGCUUUUACUGAUUUUUAUGGUGUCAAUAAUAAGAAUAAUCAAAUUACCAAAGUAAUCAUUCUGGAUGUUAGAAUCAUCCUCAGAAAUUGAUAUGGUCCAUUCUGAUACUUAAAGGAGGAUGGAGGGGGGAAGCAUACAGCUUUGUUCAAGUAACUGUCAAAUUUAUGUAUAUAUGUAGACCCUGCAUCUCUUGGAUGGUGAUGAAGUUAUUAACAGUGGA